GAUGAACGCUGGCGGCGUGCCUAAUACAUGCAAGUCGAGCGAACAGAUGAGGAGCUUGCUCCUCUGACGUUGGCGGCGGACGGGUGAGUAACACGUGGAUAACCUACCUAUAAGACUGGGAUAACUUCGGGAAACCGGAGCUAAUACCGGAUAAUAUAUUGAACCGCAUGGUUCAAUAGUGAAAGACGGUUUUGCUGUCACUUAUAGAUGGAUCCGCGCCGCAUUAGCUAGUUGGUAAGGUAACGGCUUACCAAGGCAACGAUGCGUAGCCGACCUGAGAGGGUGAUCGGCCACACUAGAACUGAGACACGGUCCAGACUCCUACGGGAGGCAGCAGUAGGGAAUCUUCCGCAAUGGGCGAAAGCCUGACGGAGCAACGCCGCGUGAGUGAUGAAGGUCUUCGGAUCGUAAAACUCUGUUAUUAGGGAAGAACAAAUGUGUAAGUAACUAUGCACGUCUUGACGGUACCUAAUCAGAAAGCCACGGCUAACUACGUG
Molecule: ribosomal RNA, 497 nt
Filed under: uncultured bacterium
Lineage: Bacteria
Description: partial 16S ribosomal RNA
Rfam family: Bacterial small subunit ribosomal RNA
Source: RNAcentral